GCUGGAAUGGUUGGUUAUGACGAUCGCCUCACACGCGACAGGUCCCGAGUUCGACUCUCGGUUCCAGUA
RNAcentral lists this transfer RNA (69 nucleotides) under Perkinsus olseni. RNAcentral describes it as "tRNA-Val". Lineage: Eukaryota; Perkinsozoa; Perkinsida; Perkinsidae. The record is from RNAcentral.